GACGAACCGUGCGAACGUUAUUCGGAAUCACUGGGCUUAAAGCGCGUGUAGGCGGGACGGCACGUCUGUCGCUGAAAUCCCCCGGCUCAACCGGGGAACGGGCGCGGAUACGACCAUCCUGGAGGGGCGUAGGGGGACCUGGAACUUCCGGUGGAGCGGUGAAAUGCGUUGAGAUCGGAAGGAACGCCCGUGGCGAAAGCGAGGUCCUGGACGCUUACUGACGCUGAGACGCGAAAGCCAGGGGAGCGAACGGG
Molecule: ribosomal RNA, 254 nt
Filed under: uncultured bacterium
Lineage: Bacteria
Description: partial 16S ribosomal RNA
Rfam family: Bacterial small subunit ribosomal RNA
Source: RNAcentral